Felis catus (domestic cat) is the source of this 641-nucleotide long non-coding RNA. RefSeq lists it as uncharacterized. NCBI's taxonomy places the organism in Eukaryota, Metazoa, Chordata, Mammalia, Carnivora, Felidae. The transcript has 3 exons. The record is from RefSeq and is a predicted model, not a curated record.
CCUGGUUGCUGCUUGAACUACACUAUCUAGGUGUAAUUAAAAACUCUCUUGAGUCCCUACUGUCAUCAGUAAGUUAAAUCUCCAUUACAACUACACCGUCCUAACAUCCUACUCCAUCCGAGGGAGGAACGAGAUGGCUUGAUUUGGAGUGGAAUCUACCACGAGAGCAAUUCACUGUGGCUAAGAGAAUGGAGUCCCACCAAAAAUAAGGCCACCUUGGGCAGUGACAAGAUUUUCGGUUCUUUGCAUUUUAAUAGUCUCUGCCUCUGGAAGUAACAAGCAAGCUUCUGUGAAGAACCCAUUGCAAAUGUAUUCCUAAAAGCUCGGCUCUUCACCUUUCAAGGAAUGGAACUCAUGAAAUUGAGUAAACAAAUUGCGGGAUGGCAUGCCACAUUCAUUCAGAAAACAUGCUGAUUACUCAGCAAAAUGGCGUUUAGCACCACAAAGGAGCCAAGGACGGAGCAGCUACAUCAAAUCCUCAAUGGAAUCCGAUAUCCCCACCUGUGGGAUGCCUAGAGAUAACAGGCAAUUGUGUCCAAAAAUGCAAUUACCAGAAGGGAAGAAAAAAGAGGUACUCUCUUUCCUGAGGAAUGGAAUCAUGAAAAGAGUCUUUCAUCAUGGACCAGAGUAUACUCAAAGCA